This is a long non-coding RNA of Pseudophryne corroboree (corroboree frog), 2159 nucleotides long. RefSeq lists it as uncharacterized. NCBI's taxonomy places the organism in Eukaryota, Metazoa, Chordata, Amphibia, Anura, Myobatrachidae. The transcript has 2 exons. The record is from RefSeq and is a predicted model, not a curated record.
AGCUGACCGGCGACGUCAUCGUCAGGCGCAAUUGUCUCACCGUGACACGCAUGGUGUGUGGCCAGGCCGGAGCAGUGCGUACCACCCAGGUGUUUCCACGUGUUUCUGCCCGAGCCACGGCCCUCCGGUGAUGUCAUCCACCGACGCAGUGAAGGCUCCGUAACACGCAUGGAUGGACGCCCGGCCGGCUCAGCGCCGGAACCUACACACCCCUUUAAAGUCAGAGACAGAGUCGUGGUGAAGGUGCUCCCCAGGAACAAGAGCCCAGGAGACUUCACCUAUGGUCCAGAGACAGAGGUCGUAGCAGUUACCCGAACAGCAGUCCUGACAGAGGAAAGUCCUGCCUGGAUCCAUGCAUCCCGAGUAAAAAAGGUUCCUAGACCAGACCUAGAGAGGGAAGCAAGUGAUUCCAGUGAGGUACGAACCGGGGCAGACAGCCCUGACCUCCCACCUAGCGAAGAAAGAAGAACAGAAGAAGAUGAGGAACCUGUCCCCUAUCUUUAUCCUGGGGACUACCUUGAUAGCCCUACUGGCCCUCACUCACCACACAAUAUGUGAGGUUGAUAUUACACACACUAAUGGGAUCCCCACCUUGUGGUAUAAUUCCUCUAACACACACGUAGCCACAUAUAUCCUUGACUAUUUUAUGUUAUAUACAACAAAGAAGGAAAUCAGGAAUGUCUGAGACAGUAUAUAUUUGUGUUACUGACGAAUGGUACUAUGACAUUAGAUAUUAUGGAUCUAAUUGUAAUUCCUGGGAAUAUGUGGGGUGGAAUACAGGAGUAGAUUGGAAAUAUGGCCCAUCAUUUGCAAAAAAAAUAGAUGGAGCAAAUAUGGAGUACCCCUACUUUCUAGACUAUCCAUUCAUAAGAUGGAUGAAGGCCCAAAUUCAUACAGGUUUAGACUAAACAUAGUGAACCCUAGCAGAAGCGACAAUGAGACUUAUGUACUUGGUAUAUGGUGGCAAGCAGGGUACUAUAGUGCAAGGCAAAUGUUUUAUUUGUGGGACAUGUAUAAAAACCCAAAACAAACCUUUAAAGCCCCAUAUUGCCACUUCUAAAGAUAUGGUGGCUAUUACUAACCCUACCUUUGAAGACACCCUAGCUAUUGAAACUGGUUUCCCUGACAUUAAUUUUUGGUUGGAAUGGAUGAAGUAUAGUGCUAACAAACACAAUAAAAGCAACUGUUAUGUCUGUGGCAAAUCUAGGCCCCACCUAGGUACAGUGCCCCUUAAUAUACCCCUAGAACAGGAAAAUUGUUUUUUUUUCAGCCUUUUUAAUGACACCAAAACAAAUGACAGUCAGUGCGAAAUGUGGAAAAGGGAAUAUCCCAUAUUGUCAAAAAAUCCCAACCCAGGAAGCACCAUAACUAUAUAUCCUGGAAACUACACUUGUUAUACAUCUAACACCACCACAGGGAGAAAUUUAAAAACCUUCCCACCAGGGUAUUGUGCAAAUAAGCAUAUUCAUACUUGUAACUUUAAUUCUUGUAGGCAUUAUAGUUUAUUGUGUAAUCCCCUGUGGAAAGAAACUUACCUCCAAAGGCAUUGAUAAGGCCCUGAUGUACUAUGAUAUAACCACCAGUCCUGUCACCUCCUCUGAUAGUAAGGGACCCGACGAUUAUGUCCAAUAUCUCAAGAACUGGAGGAACAAGAAAGGAGCCUCACUCAAGAAUCAUGUCAUAUAAUAAUCAUGAUUCUAAGAGGGGAUUGAAGGGUUACCUCUUCUGUCUUUGUAAAUAUUACUUUUUAUAUGAUCAAUUUCCUUAUAAUAGUUACAGUGUAAAAGUGAAUAUUUCUAUUUCCCUAGUGAAGGGUUAAAACAUGCUAUAUGAACUCUUAUGUGUUUGCAUGGAUGCGUGCUGCCCUGUGCUAGGUGCCUUUGUCUCUCAUACAGAUACCAGGCCUGUGUGGGUCUGGCAUCCAAGGUCAGUUCCAUACCAGAUGAAACUCGUUCUUUCUACCCAAAUAUACUGUGUUACAAAAACUUUGUUAAAUGUUUGAGAAACUUGUAGAAAACCCAUAUAUGGACAUCCGCCUUUUUCUGUUCUGCCUGGUAACUAUUAACGAACCAAUGGGAGUGUAACGACAUGUCAGUUACACCCAUAUGCAUUGUCAUAUAUACUUUUGUUAACUUCAUAAUAAACAGUGUGAAUUUUUA